AUGGGUGGUGUCGAGGAGGAGGAGAUGGACGGAGACAGAGGCAAGUCCCACGCCGACGACGUCGAAGCUGCAGAUCCCACCCCCACCACCGUCGCCAAAAGUGACGACCGCGAUAUCAAGCCGUUACUUGAAGCUGCAGCUCCCGUUCCCAUCAACAACACAGGCUAUGGUAAUGCCGACGAGAUGGACGGAGGCAAACCAGCCGACCAAUUAGCCAUGGAGGCCGACGAGGAGAAGCAGCACAUGAUCGAGCGCACGAUAUCCGACGACGAAAGUGACUUCGGUUACCACGUAGAUGUUGAUGAGUGGCGUGCAACCACGUUUGAUUCAGCCAAGCUGUUACUUUUAGCUGCAGAUCCCGUUCUCAACAGCAUAGGUUAUGGUAAUGUCGAUGAGAUGGACAGAGGCAAAUCGGCCGAGCAAUUAGCCAUGGAGGCCGAGGAGAUCGCCCAUGAUGAGAGUGAUUUCGCCCUGUACGCUAAGAGCCGGGACAGGAGAUGGGCUCACGAUGGAUACUUUGGGGACAUGACGACACUGAGCUCCACGCAGUUCACACACAUGCUACCUGGUACCAAUUCAUAUGGUACUGGAUUCCCGCCCACCCUGCAGAUCCUCUCCAUCAAACUCGCGGAAAUAAAAGGUGGAUUGGAAUGGCCCUUGCCUGUGUACGGCGUGGUUGCUGCCCGAGACACCGUGGAUCACAACCGUAACCUUCUGUUUGCUCGUGAUCGGAGCGAGUGCCAGAGAGUCGAGAAAGACCAUCCUUAUUUGCGCUUGACUGGCCCCUCUCGUGCAAUUGUGUUUCAAGGUGGUGUUAUCUUUGAAAUCCAACUGAAACUAAGAGGCAGCAUGGCGUCUCAAGAUAGAGCAUUGAUCACUCGAAUGCAACGUUACCAUGGAAGAAAGGGUACCAUUAGCUUUGAGAACUGCCUUUGUACAGCAGAGUUGAGUUUGGAGGUGAUUGGGCAAACGGUCCAGGCCACUUUCUUGGGUAUCCGUGUCAAAGGGGGGUCAUGGCCUUCCAAAUAUGGAGGCAGAGUUGUUUGCUUCGCACCAUCAGUGUCAGUCGAGAUCAUUGAUGGUCAAGUCACUUGCAGUCCUGAUGACCAACCUGGAGAAGUGGUGCUGGUUGAUUCUCGCCGUAGAGCAAUGCCUAUGGCUUCGGCUGGUUACCUUCUCAUCUCAAGGCAGGUUGUUUCUGUGGAAAGUCAAGGCAGCCUCAAAGUUGUCUUGCAGACUUACUCUGCAUCUGGUGACAUCGAUUCAGAAACUCAGGUGUGCUUCGCGCCCGAAUAUUUCAACGCUCGUGUGACGACAUGUAAGCUUAGCGGCGUCGAGGUGGAGAUGACUGUUGCUUGGUCCCGUAUGGUCACUGAAAAGGAUCAUAUCACCUCACGGGGCUGGGUGCUCGUCGACGGAGACAUCAAGUGA
Molecule: ribosomal RNA, 1431 nt
Filed under: Triticum aestivum (bread wheat)
Lineage: Eukaryota; Viridiplantae; Streptophyta; Magnoliopsida; Poales; Poaceae
Description: partial small subunit ribosomal RNA
Source: RNAcentral